AUUGAACGCUGGCGGCAGGCCUAACACAUGCAAGUCGAGCGGAUGAAGGGAGCUUGCUCCUGGAUUCAGCGGCGGACGGGUGAGUAAUGCCUAGGAAUCUGCCCGGUAGUGGGGGAUAACGUCCGGAAACGGGCGCUAAUACCGCAUACGUCCUGAGGGAGAAAGUGGGGGAUCUUCGGACCUCACGCUAUCAGAUGAGCCUAGGUCGGAUUAGCUAGUUGGUGGGGUAAAGGCCUACCAAGGCGACGAUCCGUAACUGGUCUGAGAGGAUGAUCAGUCACACUGGAACGGAGACACGGUCCAGACUCCUACGGGAGGCAGCAGUGGGGAAUAUUGGACAAUGGGCGAAAGCCUGAUCCAGCCAUGCCGCGUGUGUGAAGAAGGUCUUCGGAUUGUAAAGCACUUUAAGUUGGGAGGAAGGGCAGUAAGUUAAUACCUUGCUGUUUUGACGUUACCAACAGAAUAAGCACCGGCUAACUUCGUG
This 484-nucleotide ribosomal RNA is filed under the name uncultured bacterium. Its description in RNAcentral is "partial 16S ribosomal RNA". It matches the Rfam family "Bacterial small subunit ribosomal RNA", at positions 30 to 507 of the family's 1533-position model. The record is from RNAcentral.